UCCGAUCCGAACACAAUUUCACACUUUUUUUAUUUCAUUGAUGACUGUGCAAACAGACUUUAACGAAAUUUGUCAAGCUAUUUGGCACGUGUUAACAAAAGAUUACGUAAAGUUUCCAAGCAGAAAAGAAUUUGCCAAUCUUGCGAAGAAAUUUUAAAAUAAAAUGGAAGUUAUUUCAUGGCGUUGAUGCAAUGAAUGAAAAACUUGUUGUGAGAGAGAGACAGAUUUUCGAUAUAAAAUUUCCACCACUCGGACAGAAUUAGCACAUUAUCGAUGGACUGGACACGUAAAAUUUUCCAGGUUUUUUUUCACGCAUAUAACGCAUAAAUAAUGACCACAUUGACUCUAAAUGAUGUUCUCGAGAAACAUUUUUUUAAGUAAAUCGCCUACGUCUUUCUCUGUGAUUACCUACAAAAAAACAAAACAAAAUGAAAUUCCGAACUAAAAUUACUUCUCAUACGUAAUUCUAAGCACGUUUCUAAUUGUUGCGUAAACAAUAGAUAGUAAUAAUAGAUUUUCGGCCAUUGUCGAAGAGUUUUUUGUUCGAUGCUCAAUUGUCGAAUGCGAUAUUUGUUCUUCAAGUUAAGUUUAAUGAUUUAUAAUUAUCAAAUGGAUUUACGUGAUAAAAGUCAAUAUUCCGCGUGUGAAAACGAUGUUACUGCGGAAGAUUCUUUCAUUAGUAUAGUGAAUGCAAUCCUACGACUGACGUCUGCAAUUAAUGCCGAUUUUCCGGAAGAAACUGAAUCGUCUUCUUUCGAUUCCGACGACGAAGAGGAUGGAAAUUUCUGGUUUCUGGAAACUACUCGAUGCGAAAACAGACCUUUGAAGAAAGAGUUCAUAUUUCUAGAGAAGCAUUCAUUGGUCAAAAAAAUAAUAUGUGAGGAAGACGAAGACGAUGACGUCAAUAUUAAAUUGAAUGAAGAUAAGAAUAAAAAGAAAGAGAUGACUGGAACAAAUAAACAGUCGAAAAAAUUAAUUCGAUUGAAUAAGAGAAAAAAUACUGAUGGUCGAUUUGCAUACAAAAGUCAAUCGGAUGAUGAUGAUGAAGAAACGACCAAAUGUUUCGAUGUUUUCGUGAAAUUUUUUUGCAGAUUUCCAUCUAUUAUCUGCUCUUGUUUCAAAAGAAAAAAGUAAAAUGGCGGAAUGUACAUCAUCGUCUAUAUUUUAAUCGUUACAUUCCGUUCAGCACAUAAAAGGAAAAAAAAAAUAUUACAUUUUAUUUAAUAUUAUUAGAAAAAUUUAUGGAACGCACAUUACAAAAUUUAUUGGUCAAAAUAUCUGGUGUGCAACUUUCAUCGGCAGGCGCCCUGGCGAUCUGUACAUUCGGCCGAUUUAUUAAUUCUUAAUAAAUACAUAGCAAAGCAUAAUUUGGAAAAAAUGAAAUGAAAAGUUAAAAAAACAUUGGAAUUGUAAAAAUUACAUUUCGAAAAAGUUUCAUAAAAAUGGAAGUUUCGAAAAUUUAAUCAAAAAUUUACAAGAAAAAUUCAAAAUUAAAAUAUAAAUCGUAUAAAAAUCAACAUAAUUCAAAAUGCAUGCCUCUGCAAGGGAAGAAACCAAAAGACAUCAGAAGGAAUUGGCAAGGUGUCCCUUCGUAGAGGCAUAAUCACCAUACUUGUCUCUACAAGGGAAAAAGCGCAGGUCAUCAGAAGGAAUUGGCAAGGUGUCCCUUCGUGGAGGCAUAAUCACCAUACUUGUCUCUACAAGGGAAAAAGCGCAGGUCAUCAGAAGGAAUUGGCAAGGUGUCCCUUCGUGGAGGCAUAAUCACCAUACUUGUCUCUACAAGGGAAAAAGCGCAGGUCAUCAGAAGGAAUUGGCAAGGUGUCCCUUCGUGGAGGCAUAAUCACCAUACUUGUCUCUACAAGGGAAAAAGCGCAGGUCAUCAGAAGGAAUUGGCAAGGUGUCCCUUCGUGGAGGCAUAAUCACCAUACUUGUCUCUACAAGGGAAAAAGCGCAGGUCAUCAGAAGGAAUUGGCAAGGUGUCCCUUCGUGGAGGCAUAAUCACCAUACUUGUCUCUACAAGGGAAAAAGCGCAGGUCAUCAGAAGGAAUUGGCAAGGUGUCCCUUCGUGGAGGCAUAAUCACCAUACUUGUCUCUACAAGGGAAAAAGCGCAGGUCAUCAGAAGGAAUUGGCAAGGUGUCCCUUCGUGGAGGCAUAAUCACCAUACUUGUCUCUACAAGGGAAAAAGCGCAGGUCAUCAGAAGGAAUUGGCAAGGUGUCCCUUCGUGGAGGCAUAAUCACCAUACUUGUCUCUACAAGGGAAAAAGCGCAGGUCAUCAGAAGGAAUUGGCAAGGUGUCCCUUCGUGGAGGCAUAAUCACCAUACUUGUCUCUACAAGGGAAAAAGCGCAGGUCAUCAGAAGGAAUUGGCAAGGUGUCCCUUCGUGGAGGCAUAAUCACCAUACUUGUCUCUACAAGGGAAAAAGCGCAGGUCAUCAGAAGGAAUUGGCAAGGUGUCCCUUCGUGGAGGCAUAAUCACCAUACUUGUCUCUACAAGGGAAAAAGCGCAGGUCAUCAGAAGGAAUUGGCAAGGUGUCCCUUCGUGGAGGCAUAAUCACCAUACUUGUCUCUACAAGGGAAAAAGCGCAGGUCAUCAGAAGGAAUUGGCAAGGUGUCCCUUCGUGGAGGCAUAAUCACCAUACUUGUCUCUACAAGGGAAAAAGCGCAGGUCAUCAGAAGGAAUUGGCAAGGUGUCCCUUCGUGGAGGCAUAAUCACCAUACUUGUCUCUACAAGGGAAAAAGCGCAGGUCAUCAGAAGGAAUUGGCAAGGUGUCCCUUCGUGGAGGCAUAAUCACCAUACUUGUCUCUACAAGGGAAAAAGCGCAGGUCAUCAGAAGGAAUUGGCAAGGUGUCCCUUCGUGGAGGCAUAAUCACCAUACUUGUCUCUACAAGGGAAAAAGCGCAGGUCAUCAGAAGGAAUUGGCAAGGUGUCCCUUCGUGGAGGCAUAAUCACCAUACUUGUCUCUACAAGGGAAAAAGCGCAGGUCAUCAGAAGGAAUUGGCAAGGUGUCCCUUCGUGGAGGCAUAAUCACCAUACUUGUCUCUACAAGGGAAAAAGCGCAGGUCAUCAGAAGGAAUUGGCAAGGUGUCCCUUCGUGGAGGCAUAAUCACCAUACUUGUCUCUACAAGGGAAAAAGCGCAGGUCAUCAGAAGGAAUUGGCAAGGUGUCCCUUCGUGGAGGCAUAAUCACCAUACUUGUCUCUACAAGGGAAAAAGCGCAGGUCAUCAGAAGGAAUUGGCAAGGUGUCCCUUCGUGGAGGCAUAAUCACCAUACUUGUCUCUACAAGGGAAAAAGCGCAGGUCAUCAGAAGGAAUUGGCAAGGUGUCCCUUCGUGGAGGCAUAAUCACCAUACUUGUCUCUACAAGGGAAAAAGCGCAGGUCAUCAGAAGGAAUUGGCAAGGUGUCCCUUCGUGGAGGCAUAAUCACCAUACUUGUCUCUACAAGGGAAAAAGCGCAGGUCAUCAGAAGGAAUUGGCAAGGUGUCCCUUCGUGGAGGCAUAAUCACCAUACUUGUCUCUACAAGGGAAAAAGCGCAGGUCAUCAGAAGGAAUUGGCAAGGUGUCCCUUCGUGGAGGCAUAAUCACCAUACUUGUCUCUACAAGGGAAAAAGCGCAGGUCAUCAGAAGGAAUUGGCAAGGUGUCCCUUCGUGGAGGCAUAAUCACCAUACUUGUCUCUACAAGGGAAAAAGCGCAGGUCAUCAGAAGGAAUUGGCAAGGUGUCCCUUCGUGGAGGCAUAAUCACCAUACUUGUCUCUACAAGGGAAAAAGCGCAGGUCAUCAGAAGGAAUUGGCAAGGUGUCCCUUCGUGGAGGCAUAAUCACCAUACUUGUCUCUACAAGGGAAAAAGCGCAGGUCAUCAGAAGGAAUUGGCAAGGUGUCCCUUCGUGGAGGCAUAAUCACCAUACUUGUCUCUACAAGGGAAAAAGCGCAGGUCAUCAGAAGGAAUUGGCAAGGUGUCCCUUCGUGGAGGCAUAAUCACCAUACUUGUCUCUACAAGGGAAAAAGCGCAGGUCAUCAGAAGGAAUUGGCAAGGUGUCCCUUCGUGGAGGCAUAAUCACCAUACUUGUCUCUACAAGGGAAAAAGCGCAGGUCAUCAGAAGGAAUUGGCAAGGUGUCCCUUCGUGGAGGCAUAAUCACCAUACUUGUCUCUACAAGGGAAAAAGCGCAGGUCAUCAGAAGGAAUUGGCAAGGUGUCCCUUCGUGGAGGCAUAAUCACCAUACUUGUCUCUACAAGGGAAAAAGCGCAGGUCAUCAGAAGGAAUUGGCAAGGUGUCCCUUCGUGGAGGCAUAAUCACCAUACUUGUCUCUACAAGGGAAAAAGCGCAGGUCAUCAGAAGGAAUUGGCAAGGUGUCCCUUCGUGGAGGCAUAAUCACCAUACUUGUCUCUACAAGGGAAAAAGCGCAGGUCAUCAGAAGGAAUUGGCAAGGUGUCCCUUCGUGGAGGCAUAAUCACCAUACUUGUCUCUACAAGGGAAAAAGCGCAGGUCAUCAGAAGGAAUUGGCAAGGUGUCCCUUCGUGGAGGCAUAAUCACCAUACUUGUCUCUACAAGGGAAAAAGCGCAGGUCAUCAGAAGGAAUUGGCAAGGUGUCCCUUCGUGGAGGCAUAAUCACCAUACUUGUCUCUACAAGGGAAAAAGCGCAGGUCAUCAGAAGGAAUUGGCAAGGUGUCCCUUCGUGGAGGCAUAAUCACCAUACUUGUCUCUACAAGGGAAAAAGCGCAGGUCAUCAGAAGGAAUUGGCAAGGUGUCCCUUCGUGGAGGCAUAAUCACCAUACUUGUCUCUACAAGGGAAAAAGCGCAGGUCAUCAGAAGGAAUUGGCAAGGUGUCCCUUCGUGGAGGCAUAAUCACCAUACUUGUCUCUACAAGGGAAAAAGCGCAGGUCAUCAGAAGGAAUUGGCAAGGUGUCCCUUCGUGGAGGCAUAAUCACCAUACUUGUCUCUACAAGGGAAAAAGCGCAGGUCAUCAGAAGGAAUUGGCAAGGUGUCCCUUCGUGGAGGCAUAAUCACCAUACUUGUCUCUACAAGGGAAAAAGCGCAGGUCAUCAGAAGGAAUUGGCAAGGUGUCCCUUCGUGGAGGCAUAAUCACCAUACUUGUCUCUACAAGGGAAAAAGCGCAGGUCAUCAGAAGGAAUUGGCAAGGUGUCCCUUCGUGGAGGCAUAAUCACCAUACUUGUCUCUACAAGGGAAAAAGCGCAGGUCAUCAGAAGGAAUUGGCAAGGUGUCCCUUCGUGGAGGCAUAAUCACCAUACUUGUCUCUACAAGGGAAAAAGCGCAGGUCAUCAGAAGGAAUUGGCAAGGUGUCCCUUCGUGGAGGCAUAAUCACCAUACUUGUCUCUACAAGGGAAAAAGCGCAGGUCAUCAGAAGGAAUUGGCAAGGUGUCCCUUCGUGGAGGCAUAAUCACCAUACUUGUCUCUACAAGGGAAAAAGCGCAGGUCAUCAGAAGGAAUUGGCAAGGUGUCCCUUCGUGGAGGCAUAAUCACCAUACUUGUCUCUACAAGGGAAAAAGCGCAGGUCAUCAGAAGGAAUUGGCAAGGUGUCCCUUCGUGGAGGCAUAAUCACCAUACUUGUCUCUACAAGGGAAAAAGCGCAGGUCAUCAGAAGGAAUUGGCAAGGUGUCCCUUCGUGGAGGCAUAAUCACCAUACUUGUCUCUACAAGGGAAAAAGCGCAGGUCAUCAGAAGGAAUUGGCAAGGUGUCCCUUCGUGGAGGCAUAAUCACCAUACUUGUCUCUACAAGGGAAAAAGCGCAGGUCAUCAGAAGGAAUUGGCAAGGUGUCCCUUCGUGGAGGCAUAAUCACCAUACUUGUCUCUACAAGGGAAAAAGCGCAGGUCAUCAGAAGGAAUUGGCAAGGUGUCCCUUCGUGGAGGCAUAAUCACCAUACUUGUCUCUACAAGGGAAAAAGCGCAGGUCAUCAGAAGGAAUUGGCAAGGUGUCCCUUCGUGGAGGCAUAAUCACCAUACUUGUCUCUACAAGGGAAAAAGCGCAGGUCAUCAGAAGGAAUUGGCAAGGUGUCCCUUCGUGGAGGCAUAAUCACCAUACUUGUCUCUACAAGGGAAAAAGCGCAGGUCAUCAGAAGGAAUUGGCAAGGUGUCCCUUCGUGGAGGCAUAAUCACCAUACUUGUCUCUACAAGGGAAAAAGCGCAGGUCAUCAGAAGGAAUUGGCAAGGUGUCCCUUCGUGGAGGCAUAAUCACCAUACUUGUCUCUACAAGGGAAAAAGCGCAGGUCAUCAGAAGGAAUUGGCAAGGUGUCCCUUCGUGGAGGCAUAAUCACCAUACUUGUCUCUACAAGGGAAAAAGCGCAGGUCAUCAGAAGGAAUUGGCAAGGUGUCCCUUCGUGGAGGCAUAAUCACCAUACUUGUCUCUACAAGGGAAAAAGCGCAGGUCAUCAGAAGGAAUUGGCAAGGUGUCCCUUCGUGGAGGCAUAAUCACCAUACUUGUCUCUACAAGGGAAAAAGCGCAGGUCAUCAGAAGGAAUUGGCAAGGUGUCCCUUCGUGGAGGCAUAAUCACCAUACUUGUCUCUACAAGGGAAAAAGCGCAGGUCAUCAGAAGGAAUUGGCAAGGUGUCCCUUCGUGGAGGCAUAAUCACCAUACUUGUCUCUACAAGGGAAAAAGCGCAGGUCAUCAGAAGGAAUUGGCAAGGUGUCCCUUCGUGGAGGCAUAAUCACCAUACUUGUCUCUACAAGGGAAAAAGCGCAGGUCAUCAGAAGGAAUUGGCAAGGUGUCCCUUCGUGGAGGCAUAAUCACCAUACUUGUCUCUACAAGGGAAAAAGCGCAGGUCAUCAGAAGGAAUUGGCAAGGUGUCCCUUCGUGGAGGCAUAAUCACCAUACUUGUCUCUACAAGGGAAAAAGCGCAGGUCAUCAGAAGGAAUUGGCAAGGUGUCCCUUCGUGGAGGCAUAAUCACCAUACUUGUCUCUACAAGGGAAAAAGCGCAGGUCAUCAGAAGGAAUUGGCAAGGUGUCCCUUCGUGGAGGCAUAAUCACCAUACUUGUCUCUACAAGGGAAAAAGCGCAGGUCAUCAGAAGGAAUUGGCAAGGUGUCCCUUCGUGGAGGCAUAAUCACCAUACUUGUCUCUACAAGGGAAAAAGCGCAGGUCAUCAGAAGGAAUUGGCAAGGUGUCCCUUCGUGGAGGCAUAAUCACCAUACUUGUCUCUACAAGGGAAAAAGCGCAGGUCAUCAGAAGGAAUUGGCAAGGUGUCCCUUCGUGGAGGCAUAAUCACCAUACUUGUCUCUACAAGGGAAAAAGCGCAGGUCAUCAGAAGGAAUUGGCAAGGUGUCCCUUCGUGGAGGCAUAAUCACCAUACUUGUCUCUACAAGGGAAAAAGCGCAGGUCAUCAGAAGGAAUUGGCAAGGUGUCCCUUCGUGGAGGCAUAAUCACCAUACUUGUCUCUACAAGGGAAAAAGCGCAGGUCAUCAGAAGGAAUUGGCAAGGUGUCCCUUCGUGGAGGCAUAAUCACCAUACUUGUCUCUACAAGGGAAAAAGCGCAGGUCAUCAGAAGGAAUUGGCAAGGUGUCCCUUCGUGGAGGCAUAAUCACCAUACUUGUCUCUACAAGGGAAAAAGCGCAGGUCAUCAGAAGGAAUUGGCAAGGUGUCCCUUCGUGGAGGCAUAAUCACCAUACUUGUCUCUACAAGGGAAAAAGCGCAGGUCAUCAGAAGGAAUUGGCAAGGUGUCCCUUCGUGGAGGCAUAAUCACCAUACUUGUCUCUACAAGGGAAAAAGCGCAGGUCAUCAGAAGGAAUUGGCAAGGUGUCCCUUCGUGGAGGCAUAAUCACCAUACUUGUCUCUACAAGGGAAAAAGCGCAGGUCAUCAGAAGGAAUUGGCAAGGUGUCCCUUCGUGGAGGCAUAAUCACCAUACUUGUCUCUACAAGGGAAAAAGCGCAGGUCAUCAGAAGGAAUUGGCAAGGUGUCCCUUCGUGGAGGCAUAAUCACCAUACUUGUCUCUACAAGGGAAAAAGCGCAGGUCAUCAGAAGGAAUUGGCAAGGUGUCCCUUCGUGGAGGCAUAAUCACCAUACUUGUCUCUACAAGGGAAAAAGCGCAGGUCAUCAGAAGGAAUUGGCAAGGUGUCCCUUCGUGGAGGCAUAAUCACCAUACUUGUCUCUACAAGGGAAAAAGCGCAGGUCAUCAGAAGGAAUUGGCAAGGUGUCCCUUCGUGGAGGCAUAAUCACCAUACUUGUCUCUACAAGGGAAAAAGCGCAGGUCAUCAGAAGGAAUUGGCAAGGUGUCCCUUCGUGGAGGCAUAAUCACCAUACUUGUCUCUACAAGGGAAAAAGCGCAGGUCAUCAGAAGGAAUUGGCAAGGUGUCCCUUCGUGGAGGCAUAAUCACCAUACUUGUCUCUACAAGGGAAAAAGCGCAGGUCAUCAGAAGGAAUUGGCAAGGUGUCCCUUCGUGGAGGCAUAAUCACCAUACUUGUCUCUACAAGGGAAAAAGCGCAGGUCAUCAGAAGGAAUUGGCAAGGUGUCCCUUCGUGGAGGCAUAAUCACCAUACUUGUCUCUACAAGGGAAAAAGCGCAGGUCAUCAGAAGGAAUUGGCAAGGUGUCCCUUCGUGGAGGCAUAAUCACCAUACUUGUCUCUACAAGGGAAAAAGCGCAGGUCAUCAGAAGGAAUUGGCAAGGUGUCCCUUCGUGGAGGCAUAAUCACCAUACUUGUCUCUACAAGGGAAAAAGCGCAGGUCAUCAGAAGGAAUUGGCAAGGUGUCCCUUCGUGGAGGCAUAAUCACCAUACUUGUCUCUACAAGGGAAAAAGCGCAGGUCAUCAGAAGGAAUUGGCAAGGUGUCCCUUCGUGGAGGCAUAAUCACCAUACUUGUCUCUACAAGGGAAAAAGCGCAGGUCAUCAGAAGGAAUUGGCAAGGUGUCCCUUCGUGGAGGCAUAAUCACCAUACUUGUCUCUACAAGGGAAAAAGCGCAGGUCAUCAGAAGGAAUUGGCAAGGUGUCCCUUCGUGGAGGCAUAAUCACCAUACUUGUCUCUACAAGGGAAAAAGCGCAGGUCAUCAGAAGGAAUUGGCAAGGUGUCCCUUCGUGGAGGCAUAAUCACCAUACUUGUCUCUACAAGGGAAAAAGCGCAGGUCAUCAGAAGGAAUUGGCAAGGUGUCCCUUCGUGGAGGCAUAAUCACCAUACUUGUCUCUACAAGGGAAAAAGCGCAGGUCAUCAGAAGGAAUUGGCAAGGUGUCCCUUCGUGGAGGCAUAAUCACCAUACUUGUCUCUACAAGGGAAAAAGCGCAGGUCAUCAGAAGGAAUUGGCAAGGUGUCCCUUCGUGGAGGCAUAAUCACCAUACUUGUCUCUACAAGGGAAAAAGCGCAGGUCAUCAGAAGGAAUUGGCAAGGUGUCCCUUCGUGGAGGCAUAAUCACCAUACUUGUCUCUACAAGGGAAAAAGCGCAGGUCAUCAGAAGGAAUUGGCAAGGUGUCCCUUCGUGGAGGCAUAAUCACCAUACUUGUCUCUACAAGGGAAAAAGCGCAGGUCAUCAGAAGGAAUUGGCAAGGUGUCCCUUCGUGGAGGCAUAAUCACCAUACUUGUCUCUACAAGGGAAAAAGCGCAGGUCAUCAGAAGGAAUUGGCAAGGUGUCCCUUCGUGGAGGCAUAAUCACCAUACUUGUCUCUACAAGGGAAAAAGCGCAGGUCAUCAGAAGGAAUUGGCAAGGUGUCCCUUCGUGGAGGCAUAAUCACCAUACUUGUCUCUACAAGGGAAAAAGCGCAGGUCAUCAGAAGGAAUUGGCAAGGUGUCCCUUCGUGGAGGCAUAAUCACCAUACUUGUCUCUACAAGGGAAAAAGCGCAGGUCAUCAGAAGGAAUUGGCAAGGUGUCCCUUCGUGGAGGCAUAAUCACCAUACUUGUCUCUACAAGGGAAAAAGCGCAGGUCAUCAGAAGGAAUUGGCAAGGUGUCCCUUCGUGGAGGCAUAAUCACCAUACUUGUCUCUACAAGGGAAAAAGCGCAGGUCAUCAGAAGGAAUUGGCAAGGUGUCCCUUCGUGGAGGCAUAAUCACCAUACUUGUCUCUACAAGGGAAAAAGCGCAGGUCAUCAGAAGGAAUUGGCAAGGUGUCCCUUCGUGGAGGCAUAAUCACCAUACUUGUCUCUACAAGGGAAAAAGCGCAGGUCAUCAGAAGGAAUUGGCAAGGUGUCCCUUCGUGGAGGCAUAAUCACCAUACUUGUCUCUACAAGGGAAAAAGCGCAGGUCAUCAGAAGGAAUUGGCAAGGUGUCCCUUCGUGGAGGCAUAAUCACCAUACUUGUCUCUACAAGGGAAAAAGCGCAGGUCAUCAGAAGGAAUUGGCAAGGUGUCCCUUCGUGGAGGCAUAAUCACCAUACUUGUCUCUACAAGGGAAAAAGCGCAGGUCAUCAGAAGGAAUUGGCAAGGUGUCCCUUCGUGGAGGCAUAAUCACCAUACUUGUCUCUACAAGGGAAAAAGCGCAGGUCAUCAGAAGGAAUUGGCAAGGUGUCCCUUCGUGGAGGCAUAAUCACCAUACUUGUCUCUACAAGGGAAAAAGCGCAGGUCAUCAGAAGGAAUUGGCAAGGUGUCCCUUCGUGGAGGCAUAAUCACCAUACUUGUCUCUACAAGGGAAAAAGCGCAGGUCAUCAGAAGGAAUUGGCAAGGUGUCCCUUCGUGGAGGCAUAAUCACCAUACUUGUCUCUACAAGGGAAAAAGCGCAGGUCAUCAGAAGGAAUUGGCAAGGUGUCCCUUCGUGGAGGCAUAAUCACCAUACUUGUCUCUACAAGGGAAAAAGCGCAGGUCAUCAGAAGGAAUUGGCAAGGUGUCCCUUCGUGGAGGCAUAAUCACCAUACUUGUCUCUACAAGGGAAAAAGCGCAGGUCAUCAGAAGGAAUUGGCAAGGUGUCCCUUCGUGGAGGCAUAAUCACCAUACUUGUCUCUACAAGGGAAAAAGCGCAGGUCAUCAGAAGGAAUUGGCAAGGUGUCCCUUCGUGGAGGCAUAAUCACCAUACUUGUCUCUACAAGGGAAAAAGCGCAGGUCAUCAGAAGGAAUUGGCAAGGUGUCCCUUCGUGGAGGCAUAAUCACCAUACUUGUCUCUACAAGGGAAAAAGCGCAGGUCAUCAGAAGGAAUUGGCAAGGUGUCCCUUCGUGGAGGCAUAAUCACCAUACUUGUCUCUACAAGGGAAAAAGCGCAGGUCAUCAGAAGGAAUUGGCAAGGUGUCCCUUCGUGGAGGCAUAAUCACCAUACUUGUCUCUACAAGGGAAAAAGCGCAGGUCAUCAGAAGGAAUUGGCAAGGUGUCCCUUCGUGGAGGCAUAAUCACCAUACUUGUCUCUACAAGGGAAAAAGCGCAGGUCAUCAGAAGGAAUUGGCAAGGUGUCCCUUCGUGGAGGCAUAAUCACCAUACUUGUCUCUACAAGGGAAAAAGCGCAGGUCAUCAGAAGGAAUUGGCAAGGUGUCCCUUCGUGGAGGCAUAAUCACCAUACUUGUCUCUACAAGGGAAAAAGCGCAGGUCAUCAGAAGGAAUUGGCAAGGUGUCCCUUCGUGGAGGCAUAAUCACCAUACUUGUCUCUACAAGGGAAAAAGCGCAGGUCAUCAGAAGGAAUUGGCAAGGUGUCCCUUCGUGGAGGCAUAAUCACCAUACUUGUCUCUACAAGGGAAAAAGCGCAGGUCAUCAGAAGGAAUUGGCAAGGUGUCCCUUCGUGGAGGCAUAAUCACCAUACUUGUCUCUACAAGGGAAAAAGCGCAGGUCAUCAGAAGGAAUUGGCAAGGUGUCCCUUCGUGGAGGCAUAAUCACCAUACUUGUCUCUACAAGGGAAAAAGCGCAGGUCAUCAGAAGGAAUUGGCAAGGUGUCCCUUCGUGGAGGCAUAAUCACCAUACUUGUCUCUACAAGGGAAAAAGCGCAGGUCAUCAGAAGGAAUUGGCAAGGUGUCCCUUCGUGGAGGCAUAAUCACCAUACUUGUCUCUACAAGGGAAAAAGCGCAGGUCAUCAGAAGGAAUUGGCAAGGUGUCCCUUCGUGGAGGCAUAAUCACCAUACUUGUCUCUACAAGGGAAAAAGCGCAGGUCAUCAGAAGGAAUUGGCAAGGUGUCCCUUCGUGGAGGCAUAAUCACCAUACUUGUCUCUACAAGGGAAAAAGCGCAGGUCAUCAGAAGGAAUUGGCAAGGUGUCCCUUCGUGGAGGCAUAAUCACCAUACUUGUCUCUACAAGGGAAAAAGCGCAGGUCAUCAGAAGGAAUUGGCAAGGUGUCCCUUCGUGGAGGCAUAAUCACCAUACUUGUCUCUACAAGGAAAAAGCGAAAGAGAUAAGAACGAUUUGUCAAGGUGUUCCUUCGUGGAGUCAUUAUCAAUAAUGCUUGUCUCUGCAAGAGAAGAAACCAAGAAAAUAUCAAUUGAAAUAGUAAAACAGAAAUCUGUUUGCCUUCGAUAAUAUUUCGAUUACGUAACAAAAUAAUGGAUCGUGACAUGAGAAAUGCUGUUUUUCCUAAAGAUAAAAGCUUCAUUCUAUUCAAAUCUUUAAGGCAGACAAAGGUUUUUUUUCUGAAUCAAACAAAUAAUUACUUUCAUUUGAUCUCAAAAUAUGGAAUCCGUGUUUAAAUUUAAGAAAUAGAGUUGGAAUGCACACCGUUUAACACCUAUUUAUAUGUUUUUUCUACGAAAGUGUUUUAUCUUAGGUUUAUUAUUAUUAUUUGUAAAAAUUAUUACCAUGAUUGCAACUAAAGUCGUUAGUCUUUGUGUUGCGUUUUUCAAACAAUAAAUUAA
This is a long non-coding RNA of Centruroides sculpturatus (bark scorpion), 12683 nucleotides long. RefSeq lists it as uncharacterized. The transcript is spliced from 6 exons. NCBI's taxonomy places the organism in Eukaryota, Metazoa, Arthropoda, Arachnida, Scorpiones, Buthidae. The record is from RefSeq and is a predicted model, not a curated record.